AUUGAACGCUGGCGGCAGGCCUAACACAUGCAAGUCGAACGGUAACAGGAAGAAGCUUGCUUCUUUGCUGACGAGUGGCGGACGGGUGAGUAAUGUCUGGGAAACUGCCUGAUGGAGGGGGAUAACUACUGGAAACGGUAGCUAAUACCGCAUAACGUCGCAAGCCCAAAGAGGGGGACAUUCGUGCCUCUUGCCCUCGGAUGUGCCCAGAUGGGAUUAGCUAGUAGGUGGGGUAACGGCUCACCUAGGCGACGAUACCUAGCUGGUCUGAGAGGAUGACCAGCCACACUGGAACUGAGACACGGUCCAGACUCCUACGGGAGGCAGCAGUGGGGAAUAUUGGACAAUGGGCGCAAGCCUGAUGCAGCCAUGCCGCGUGUAUGAAGAAGGCCUUCGGGUUGUAAAGUACUUUCAGCGGGGAGGAAGGGAGUAAAGUUAAUACCUUUGCUCAUUGACGUUACCCGCAGAAGAAGCACCGGCUAACUCCGUG
RNAcentral lists this ribosomal RNA (490 nucleotides) under uncultured bacterium. Its description in RNAcentral is "partial 16S ribosomal RNA". It matches the Rfam family "Bacterial small subunit ribosomal RNA", at positions 30 to 507 of the family's 1533-position model. The record is from RNAcentral.